Molecule: RNase P RNA, 376 nt
Filed under: Spirochaetota bacterium
Lineage: Bacteria; Pseudomonadati; Spirochaetota
Description: Spirochaetes bacterium (wastewater metagenome) RNase P RNA component class A
Rfam family: Bacterial RNase P class A
About the family: Ribonuclease P (RNase P) is a ubiquitous endoribonuclease, found in archaea, bacteria and eukarya as well as chloroplasts and mitochondria. Its best characterised activity is the generation of mature 5'-ends of tRNAs by cleaving the 5'-leader elements of precursor-tRNAs.
Source: RNAcentral
AGAGGGGCACAGGCAGCCGCGCCGGGAAACACACCCGGUGAGGAAAGUCCGAACACCGCAGGGCAGGAUGCCGGGUAACACCCGGGCGCCGUGAGGCGAUGGAAAGUGCAACAGAAAACAUACCGCCUUUUGAUUUUACCUGGGGCUUGCCCUGAGUAAAGUUGAAGGGUAAGGGUGAAAAGGCGAGGUAAGAGCUCACCGCAUCGGUAGCAAUACCGAUGGCAGUGCAAACCCCAUCCGGUGCAAGGCCAAAUAGGCAACCGCUAUCAAAGUUGCCCGCUUGAGGUUGCGGGUAGGCCGCAAAGAUGGGUAUGGUAACAUGCCCACAAGAUUAAUGGCUGCAUAAACAGAAUUCGGCUUAUGUGCCCCUCUUACC